Long non-coding RNA from Cebus imitator (Panamanian white-faced capuchin), 199 nucleotides. RefSeq lists it as uncharacterized. Lineage: Eukaryota; Metazoa; Chordata; Mammalia; Primates; Cebidae. The transcript is spliced from 3 exons. The record is from RefSeq and is a predicted model, not a curated record.
CAUCCUGGCCAACAUGGUGAAACCCCAUCUCUACUGAAAGUACAAAAAAUUAGCCGGGUGUGGCAGCAGAUGCCUGCAAUCGCAACUACUCAGGAGGCUGAGGCAGGAGAAUCACUUGAACCUGGGAGGUGGAGGUUGCAGUGUGCCAAGAUCAUACCACUACACUCCAGCCUGGGCAACACAGCAAGAUUCUGUCACA